This 18-nucleotide non-coding RNA is filed under the name Arabidopsis thaliana (thale cress). The record is from RNAcentral. Lineage: Eukaryota; Viridiplantae; Streptophyta; Magnoliopsida; Brassicales; Brassicaceae.
GAUGCAACCGUUGGUGUC